UCGAGGGGCAGCAUGGGAGUAGUAAUACUUCUGAUGGCGACCGGCGCACGGGUGCGUAACGCGUAUGCAACCUACCUGUAACAGGGGGAUAACACUGAGAAAUCGGUACUAAUACCGCAUAACACUAUGAGAGGCAUCUCUUGUGGUUGAAAGUUUCGGCGGUUACAGAUGGGCAUGCGUUGUAUUAGCUGGUUGGUAAGGUAACGGCUUACCAAGGCGACGAUACAUAGGGGGACUGAGAGGUUAACCCCCCACAUUGGUACUGAGACACGGACCAAACUCCUACGGGAGGCAGCAGUGAGGAAUAUUGGUCAAUGGACGGAAGUCUGAACCAGCCAUGCCGCGUGCAGGAAGACGGCUCUAUGAGUUGUAAACUGCUUUUGUACAAGGGUAAACCUGAAUACGUGUAUUCAGCUGAAAGUACUGUACGAAUAAGGAUCGGCUAACUCCGUGCCAGCAGCCGCGGUAAUACGGGGGAUCCAAGCGUUAUCCGGAUUUAUUGGGUUUAAAGGGUGCGUAGGCGGAUUGAUAAGUUAGAGGUGAAAUGUCCGAGCUUAACUCGGGAACUGCCUCUAAUACUGCUGAUCUAGAGAGUAGAUGCGGUAGGCGGAAUGUAUGGUGUAGCGGUGAAAUGCUUAGAGAUCAUACAGAACACCGAUUGCGAAGGCAGCUUACCAAUCUAUAUCUGACGUUGAGGCAC
This 700-nucleotide ribosomal RNA is filed under the name uncultured bacterium. RNAcentral describes it as "bacterial SSU rRNA". It matches the Rfam family "Bacterial small subunit ribosomal RNA", at positions 62 to 754 of the family's 1533-position model. The record is from RNAcentral.